GGGAUGCAGGCUUCCUGGAGUCGGGCCCUUGCUCUGCUGGGCCGCCAGGAGAAUGUGACACUGUGACAGUUGCAAUUGACCUAUCGUGAACUGUCCAGCUUUGUUUACAAAAAUACCAAGGAUCAGAGUUCACCUCUCCCUGAGGAAACUCCUGUUCAGGGAAAAACAAGAAAACCAAUCUAGGAGUGUCUAAUGGCUUCGUUUUAUUGCUCACUUCUUUCUCCUAUACUUAUUUUUAAUAGUUUCUUUGGAAAAUGAAUGUUGAUUAGAUUUAGGGCACCAUGAGAUAUUUUCCAUGGUCCGGAGCAACCACGGGGUUCCAUUUGGGGUACAUUUUCCUUUUGUUCAGCCAGUGGUUACUGCAGACUCCGUUUUGCCUCCACGUCUGAACACUUCCCUCCUCCGAAGUUCACCACGGGCGUCACGAAGGAUCCAUCCACAGUCACUUUCUGACAGAUCAGCACUGGCUUGAUCCCAGAGGAUGGGAGACCCAGCAAGACGGGGCUGGCAGGGGCCCACCCUGGCUGGCCUGAAGCCCUUGACCGCGUCAACACAAUCCGAAAGACCUGGGCAGCUGAAAGCAGAGCUGAGGAGGUCUACCAGAGGAAUUCCAGCUCCGGUGCCGGCGUUGUGCUGCAGCUUCAACACUGGCACUCCGUACCUGAGAGCUGCUCUGCUUCCCAUCAAGCUUCCUGAUAACGCACCUGGAAGCAGCAGAAGAUGGCCCAAGUACUUGGGCCCCUACCACCCAAAGAAAAGACCCGGCUGGAGUUCAUGGCUCCUGGCUUCAGCACAGGCCAGCUUAGACUGUUGCAGCCAUUUGCUAUUUGGGUAGUGAAACAGUGAGUAGAUGAUCUCUCUCUGUCUCUCAUACACACUGUACCUUUCAAAUAUAUAAACACUUGUUUUUUUAAAUGAAGAUUCAGGCUUCAGGCCUGGAUGGUAUUGAACUUGGGUUUCCAGCUGUACCACUGAGGAUGUGGAGCAAGCCCUCAAGCCGGCACCAUCUCAUCCGGUUCAGGAGACCUGGCUGGAGGCUGAUCCCUCUGUCUGGAGUCCUCUGGCCCCUAGGUUUUGGAGGGAGUCCCCAGUUCAGGAUCUGUGCACCUCUGCACUACUGCUCUCUCUCAUCAGUAGCAGGGAUGCUAGGGAACUUAUGCAGGUGGCUCCUGGCAGAGGAGUAGUCAUCAAGGGCCUUGGAACCAAGGGCUUGGGUUCAGACUUCAGCUCUAGGUGCUCAGUUUUCUCAUCUGUCAAAUGGAGACAAUAUCAGCCAGCUGAGGGAAUCGCUGGGAAGAAUCCGUAUGGAAUGGUGUGCUCACUCCCUGCAGGGCCUGGCACACGCCAAGUGCUAACUAAGGGGUAGGCCACUGCCGCAGGCUCUUCAGACCCAUGCGUGGAUGGGAACGUGACUAAGGGAGCCCUGUUCUAUGCCACACAUCCUAUGAGCGAUUUUUUGGGUGUACGGGGAAU
This 1473-nucleotide long non-coding RNA is filed under the name Oryctolagus cuniculus (rabbit). Its description in RNAcentral is "lncRNA (ENSOCUG00000035919.1)". The record is from RNAcentral. Lineage: Eukaryota; Metazoa; Chordata; Mammalia; Lagomorpha; Leporidae.